AGAGGGCCAAGCAUGGCCAGCAGACCUUGGCGAGCUUCUUCCAGCGCGGGCCUGCAGCGUCACCAGCAGCAGCGGCAGCAGCAUCCCCCAUGCAAUCAAGCAGCGCAGCGCCAGCAGCAUCAGCGUCGCCCAUGCAAGCGAGCAGUGCAGGCAAUGUGCCAGCAUCCCCUCCCACAGCGACCCCUUCAGCAGCACCACCAGCAGCAGCACUGCCACUGGCAGAGCCUAUGGAGGUGGAUGUGCGCGCACUAGUGCAUGCACCACCUGCUCAGCCCAC
RNAcentral lists this long non-coding RNA (277 nucleotides) under Dunaliella salina. RNAcentral's name for it is "long non-coding RNA (DSAL_LNC000040)". The record is from RNAcentral. Lineage: Eukaryota; Viridiplantae; Chlorophyta; Chlorophyceae; Chlamydomonadales; Dunaliellaceae.